UGAUCUCCAAAGAUAUUUUUGUGUGCGUGAACCUUCUGAAAAUGAAGUUCGCAGUGUUUUGGUUUCCACUGCAGUAUAGACAGGAUGGUCUUUCACCGUCAGAUAAGAGAAUGCGACCAUAACGAGUCAACACUACUUUAACAGUUUUUGAGAGCACAGGACUGUUAGACAUUGACUUGCACAGACAACGAUGCACUCCUCCCAGUACUCCUACCUGUGUUGACUUCACUUGCAUAGAUCCAUCCAGUUACUGUGAAUACAGGAGCACAAACCUGAAAUGCAGCUUGAAACCAAAGGUGUAGAAUAGUUACUGUAGUUAGACAGAGAUAUGCUUCUUUGGACUACAGCCUUCUGUUGCGAUUCGGCUAAGCUUAACUCAGAAGCAGCUCGAGCUUUGCAAACAGCCCUUAUCUUCAUUCGCUACAGUAAGGUCCCAAUAGUCCUGCAGAACAAAGGUCCGUGUAGCCCCAUAAGACGUAGUGCUGGUGUUAGACGAACAUGAGAUGCUUUACUGAAAUAUUCCAAGACAGUUUGAUAUGAAAGAUAUGCGUCAUUGUCAAAGAUCUUGUAGGGCUCAAUGCUACACAGUUUGCAUUGGACCAGAAAAAAACAGGGAGAUACCUCACCACUUGGCCUUGUUUAGUUCACCCCGAAAUCCAAAAAGUUUUCAAGAUUCUCUGUCACAUCGAAUCUUACGGCACAUGCAUGAAGCAUUAAAUAUAGACAAAAUAAAAACUAAUCACACAGUUUGACUGUAAAUCGCGAGACGAAUCUUUUGACCCUAAUUAGUCUAUGAUUGGACAAUAUUUACCACAAACAAACGAAAAUGUUACAGUAGCGAAAUCUAAAUUUUUUUCACAUCUAAACAAGGCCUUACCUCUUGUAGCAGAAGAAAACACUGAGCAAGCCUGUUUAAGAUAAGAGGAAUUGUUCCACAUCAGGCAAAACGUGCAUGGGGCAGAGCAGAUGGGACUACAACAGUCCUCUGUCCUCCCCCCACCUCACCCCCCUAACAUUUUCACAGUAACUUCUAUGCAGUUUCUAGCGUGAAGUAGUACUUCUUUUACUGGUUUAGCUUUAUUGCGCUUUUUCCCUGUGAUACAUUCGCAAAAUUAAUGCUAGGCCUUGUUUACUUCCACUCAAAAUCCAAAAACUUUUCAAGAUUUCCCGUCACAUCGAAUCUUUAGACGUAUGCAUGGAAUAUUAAAUAUAAACAAAAUUAAAAACUAAUUACACGGUUUGAUCGAAAUUUACGAGACGAAUCUUUUACCACAAACAAACGAAAGUGCUACGGUGUCCCGAAAAAAUUUCGGCAAAGAACUAAACAAGGCCCUAGUUAUCUCCCCAAAACAUGCCCUCUCAUUAUAUUCCAAGUUCUUCGUGACAACUUUUAUCCUAUUUGGCUAGCAUAUUCAAUUAUUAUUGCAAAUCACGAUGCUAAGUACACCCUAUUUUCUUCCUUUAGGUGGUGAAUCCGUACAACCAAUGCAUAAGCAUUUGAACUUCUGGAUCGUUUAUCUCUGACACAUAAGAUGGACUGUCUGAAUGAUUGUUAUACACAUCAAAAUCUGAUGACAGUUAAUCUUGUAUCAAAAGCUUUUUCAAAUGUAUAACAGGUGAACUUACCAGACUCAUCUCAAUUAGGUUUAUAUUCCUUAGAG
RNAcentral lists this long non-coding RNA (1661 nucleotides) under Sorghum bicolor (sorghum). Its description in RNAcentral is "long non-coding RNA (SBIC_LNC005765)". Lineage: Eukaryota; Viridiplantae; Streptophyta; Magnoliopsida; Poales; Poaceae. The record is from RNAcentral.